UACAGAGGUCCCAAGCGUUGUUCGGAUUCAUUGGGCGUAAAGGGUGCGUAGGUGGCGCCGUAAGUCGGGUGUGAAAUUUCGGAGCUUAACUCCGAAACUGCAUUCGAUACUGCGGUGCUUGAGGACUGGAGAGGAGACUGGAAUUCAUGGUGUAGCAGUGAAAUGCGUAGAGAUCAUGAGGAAGACCAGUGGCGAAGGCGGGUCCCUGGACAACACCUGACACUGAGGCACGAAAGCCGGGGGAGCAAACAGG
Molecule: ribosomal RNA, 253 nt
Filed under: uncultured bacterium
Lineage: Bacteria
Description: partial 16S ribosomal RNA
Rfam family: Bacterial small subunit ribosomal RNA
Source: RNAcentral